Molecule: unclassified non-coding RNA, 380 nt
Filed under: uncultured bacterium
Lineage: Bacteria
Description: contains 16S-23S intergenic spacer region
Source: RNAcentral
UCCGGUUUAUCACCGGCAGUCACCUUAGAGUGCCCAACUAAAUGCUGGCAACUAAGAUCAAGGGUUGCGCUCGUUGCGGGACUUAGCCCAACAUCUCACGACACGAGCUGACGACAACCAUGCACCACCUGUCACUUUGUCCCCCGAAGGGGAAAGCCCUAUCUCUAGGGUUGUCAAAGGAUGUCAAGACCUGGUAAGGUUCUUUGCGUUGCUUCGAAUUAAACCACAUGCUCCACUGCUUGUGCGGGCCCCCGUCAAUUCCUUUGAGUUUUAGCCUUGCGGCCGUACUCCCCAGGCGGGGCACUUAAUGCGUUAGCUGCGGCACGGACCACGUGGAAUGUGGCCCACACCUAGUGCCCAUCGUUUACGGCUAGGACUAC